RNAcentral lists this ribosomal RNA (327 nucleotides) under Ooperipatellus insignis. RNAcentral's name for it is "eukaryotic LSU rRNA". It matches the Rfam family "Eukaryotic large subunit ribosomal RNA", at positions 666 to 946 of the family's 3401-position model. The record is from RNAcentral. Lineage: Eukaryota; Metazoa; Onychophora; Udeonychophora; Euonychophora; Peripatopsidae.
CCAAGGAGUCUAACACGUGCGCGAGUCGUAGGGUUUCCCUCGAAGCCCGGAGGCGCAAUGAAAGUGAACCGUAGGCGGGAUCCCCGUUCACUCCCACGGGAGCCGGGGCGCACCGCCGGCCCGUCUCGUUCGGUCGGCGCGUCUACCCUCGGGUGGCGUGUCGGCGGAGGCGGAGCGAGAGCGUACACGUUAGGACCCGAAAGACGGUGAACUAUUCCCGGACAGGACGAAGCCGGAGGAAACUCCGGUGGAGGUCCGCAGCGAUUCUGACGUGCAAAUCGAUCGUCGGAUCCGGGUAUAGGGGCGAAAGACUAAUCGAACCGUCUA